RNAcentral lists this ribosomal RNA (292 nucleotides) under uncultured bacterium. RNAcentral describes it as "partial 16S ribosomal RNA". The record is from RNAcentral.
GGACUACCGGGGUAUCUAAUCCUGUUUGCUCCCCACGCUUUCGUGCCUCAACGUCAGGAGUGAGCCAAGAAGCUGCCUUCGCCAUCGGUGUUCCUCCUGAGAUCCACGCAUUUUACCGCUACUCCAGGAAUUCCACUUCUCUCUCUCACCCUCUAGCACGCCAGUUUUCAUUGCAGAACUCCGGUUAGGCCGAAGCCUUUAACAACGAACUUAACAUACCGUCUACGCACCCUUUACGCCCAGUGAUUCCGAAUAACGUUUGCACCCUUCGUAUUACCGCGGCUGCUGGCAC